Non-coding RNA from Megalops atlanticus (tarpon), 73 nucleotides. NCBI's taxonomy places the organism in Eukaryota, Metazoa, Chordata, Actinopteri, Elopiformes, Megalopidae. The record is from the annotation of a GenBank genome assembly.
AGCACUGUAGCAUAGUGGUAAGGAGCAGGGCUCGUAACCGGGAGGUUGCUGGCUCAAUUCCCUGCUGGGGCAC